CCUACGGGAGGCUGCAGUGAGGAAUAUUGGUCAAUGGACGAGAGUCUGAACCAGCCAAGUCGCGUGAAGGAUGACUGCACUAUGGGUUGUAAACCUCUUUUAUCAAGGAAUAAAACGAGGCACGUGUCCCCUUUUGCGUGUACCUUAUGAAUAAGGAUCGGCUAACUCCGUGCCAGCAGCCGCGGUAAUACGGAGGAUCCGAGCGUUAUCCGGAUUUAUUGGGUUUAAAGGGAGCGUAGGGGGGUUGGUAAGUCAGUUGUGAAAGUGUGCGGCUCAACCGUAAAAUUGCAGUUGAUACUGGCAGUCUUGAGUACAGUAGAGGUAGGCGGAAUGCGUGGUGUAGCGGUGAAAUGCAUAGAUAUCGCGAAGAACUCCGAUUGCGAAGGCAGCAUGCUAGACUGAGACUGACAUUGAGGCUCGAAAGUGUGGGUAUCAAACAGGAUUAGAUACCCUAGUAGUC
Molecule: ribosomal RNA, 460 nt
Filed under: uncultured bacterium
Lineage: Bacteria
Description: partial 16S ribosomal RNA
Rfam family: Bacterial small subunit ribosomal RNA
Source: RNAcentral